This 246-nucleotide ribosomal RNA is filed under the name uncultured bacterium. RNAcentral's name for it is "partial 16S ribosomal RNA". It matches the Rfam family "Bacterial small subunit ribosomal RNA", at positions 112 to 353 of the family's 1533-position model. The record is from RNAcentral.
AACACGUGGGUAACCUGCCUUAUAGUGGGGGAGUAGCCUUUCGAAAGGAAGAUUAAUACCGCAUAAGAUUGUAGUAUCGCAUGAUAUAGCGAUUAAAGGAGCAAUUCGCUAUAAGAUGGACCCGCGUCGCAUUAGCUAGUUGGUGAGGUAAUGGCUCACCAAGGCGACGAUGCGUAGCCGACCUGAGAGGGUGAUCGGCCACAUUGGGACUGAGACACGGCCCAGACUCCUACGGGAGGCAGCAUG